CCUACGGGAGGCAGCAGUGGGGAAUAUUGGACAAUGGGCGAAAGCCUGAUCCAGCAAUGCCGCGUGAGUGAUGAAGGCCUUCGGGUCGUAAAGCUCUUUUACCAGGGAUGAUAAUGACAGUACCUGGAGAAUAAGCUCCGGCUAACUCCGUGCCAGCAGCCGCGGUAAUACGGAGGGAGCUAGCGUUGUUCGGAAUUACUGGGCGUAAAGAGUACGUAGGCGGUUAUUCAAGUCAGAGGUGAAAGCCCGGGGCUCAACCCCGGAACUGCCUUUGAAACUAGAUAACUAGAGUCUUGGAGAGGUUAGUGGAAUUCCGAGUGUAGAGGUGAAAUUCGUAGAUAUUCGGAAGAACACCAGUGGCGAAGGCGACUAACUGGACAAGUACUGACGCUGAGGUACGAAAGCGUGGGGAGCAAACAGGAUUAGAUACCCUGGUAGUCCACGCCGUAAACGAUGAUAACUAGUUGUUCGGUCACUUGGUGACCGGAGUGACGCAGACUACGACUAUUAAGUUACGUCCGUCCGUCGGGUAGGUACGGUCGCGAAGUAAGUAAACGUACGAAAGUAAGUUAGUACGGCGNGAGUAACGUGACCGACGACGACGACGAGGGAGGAGG
Molecule: ribosomal RNA, 617 nt
Filed under: uncultured bacterium
Lineage: Bacteria
Description: bacterial SSU rRNA
Rfam family: Bacterial small subunit ribosomal RNA (bases 1-523)
Source: RNAcentral